This 583-nucleotide long non-coding RNA is filed under the name Centruroides sculpturatus (bark scorpion). RNAcentral describes it as "uncharacterized LOC111641972". Lineage: Eukaryota; Metazoa; Arthropoda; Arachnida; Scorpiones; Buthidae. The record is from RNAcentral.
GACAUCUCCGAUCAGCCCCAGUUAAUUAAUGCUGAUACGAUUGGUGUUCUGGAGUUUACUCCAAUUAACAGGUUUGUCCCUUUGCAAUUCUUCAUUAAAAACAAGAAUUUAGAACUUUCCUGGAAAUCACUAAUUUCUCCUUUCUCUUUUUGGGUGUGGCUGGCCAUUUUCAUCUGUACUUUGGUGGCUGGAAUACUCAUAUUUAUAAUACUCAGUUACGAGAAAUCAACAGAAGACAAUAACAAAGGUUGGAAUAAAAGAAGAUUCGUUUGGUUUCUGUUCGGAAGUUUUCUCAAUCAAGGAGCCGAUUUGAACGUCGUUAGACGCUCACCCUCCAGAGUGGCCUUGGUCUUCUGGAUGCUUCCAGUUUUGAUCAUAUCUUGGUCUUAUGGUGGAACGUCAACUUCGUUUAUGAUUAACAAGGAAAAACAGUCAUUGCCGAAAACGUUCGAAGAAUUAGCAUCAGCUGUCCAGAAAGGAAAAUUUACUUGUACUGCACAUGACUACCCAUAUCUGAUAAACAUCUUUAAGGUGAGUUGUUCGUAACAUUUUAUUUCACAAAGAUGAUAUCGGUCUUGAAAAA